Long non-coding RNA from Cyprinus carpio (common carp), 1692 nucleotides. The record is from Ensembl. NCBI's taxonomy places the organism in Eukaryota, Metazoa, Chordata, Actinopteri, Cypriniformes, Cyprinidae.
AUAUAUAUAUAUAUAUAUAUAUAUAUAUAUAUAUAUAUGAAUUUUCUACAUGUUAUCUUAAGAGUUUUUCCAUUGUUUUAGUAUAACAUUAUAAUACCAUUCAUAUUUACUUUUUUUGUAAAAACUUUUUAAUAUAAUUUAAAGAAACCAAUCCGAUUUAUAGUUGCCAUUUGAGGCUUAAUACUAUAGAAAAGCACUCAAAGUUUUUUAGCUUGUUUAUUUUACUAUGAAAAUAUGGUAUGCAGUUGCAUCAAACAAUGGUAUAAACAUCAAUGUAAAUUGUGAGAAUCCUAAUUAAUAAAUCACAAUUACAAUUUCAAGGCAAUAAUCUACAAUUAUGAUUUUUGUCAUAAUCAUACAGCCAUAACUACAGUCACAACAAUGACAGCUUCAGCAAACAUAUUGCUGUACCCUAAAGAUUUGCAACACAUAAAAUGUGGGCAAUUCCCAUUUAAUCUCACAAGCCUGCUUUUAAUUAAAACAAUAGUGCAUUCAAUGAUACAUUCAUUCAUUCUGUUAUUGUUUUGGUCCAGCUUAGAAUGAAUGAAUGAAUGAACUAAUUAAUUAAGCUACAUUAGCUAACACAUUGUCAUCACAAAUCAUAAACUAAUACAAAAAAAAAGUGUCUAGAAAGUGUCAACAAUCACUCUACAAUGUUUGUUUUGAUGGAGUAAACAUCACAGGGGGUGGGGACAGAAUAUGCUUGUGACCUCACUCCAUUCAUGUUUUGCCUGUAGCCAUUCAACCAAUCCCAUCCCACGUGUGUCUAAAUGUCCAGGUCAUCAAUUGCACUUCGUACGGUCCCAGGGACGUGUCGGACGGACGUCUUUUCAACGGUCAACAGACGUCCGAAUGUUUGCUGGGACGGCACGAAAUUUUUUUUUUUUUUUUUUUUUUUUUUAAUAUCAUGACAUGGCGGAGCGCAAGAAAAAAAUGCAUUCUGAAGCUGCUCACUUAGGCGAUCUGGCUCGUCUCAGUCUGCUCAAUCGUGGUGAUGUCAGUGCCCUAAAAGAUGUUAUAAUGGACUAUUUCACAUCCAGAGAUGAAGGAUUGGAUGAAGUUACUAAAGAGGAGGAGUCCGAUGACAGUCUGUUAUAUGCACAGUUGCCAGAUGCUGUCCUGUCGGAAAUUCUUCUUCACAUGGUCCUGGAGGAGGGUGAUGCUGCAUUAUUAAAUCUGUCUUUGGUUUGUUCCAAAUUCAGAAGUCUGGUGUAUACAGAAUCAUUUCAGAAGAAGGCACAUUUCUCCUGGCUUGACAGUGUAACAAAAUGGAGAACAAGUCUGAGCCACGCCAGGAAUUCUUCAAAAUGUACACAGUGCAACCCUGCAGACACUGCCAUGAGGUUUACAAGUACUGCUUACCAGGUGUGUAAAUUAAGCAUGAAAAUGUGAUCACUGCUAGAUACAUGAUGACAAAAUGCAAUGGGAAUAAUCAUUUUAUUAACAGUAGACAUGCAUGCACAGCCAUACCUCAGGAUUGUUGUUAGUGAUUCUAAUUGAUAUUUCCGUCUGCUUGCUUACUGGAUGUAUUUUAUACUGUUUACAUUGUAUAGCACUGACUUUGACAACAUACCAAGCCUGUUACAAAUUUAACAGCUACGUUAUUAUAUGUAUAAUUGUUUCUUGAAAUACUACAAAUGUAAAAAAUAUAACAGCAAAAUAUGAUUUUAAAUAAAGGUAAUUGAUGAGACA